AGGACCACAAAAUGGUGGUGAAAUUUAAAAUUUUCAGCCCGGGGAGCCUUACCAGUCCUCGUUAACCUCUCCACGACUGCACUUUGGUAUGGUUUUAUUAUAGAAAAAAUUAUUCUUGUGCUACUUAGGUCCUAAGCCUCGCAGACUCCACUCGCUCGUAUAUAUCCUAUCUCUUGAUUAAUGUUACCAUAAUUGAACUAAUCUUCCAAGGCAGAAAAAGAGGCAAUUGACUAACAAAAUCAGAGACUAAAUUCCCCAAAACUCCCAAGUUUGGGGAAGAUUUGUGUUGCAGACUAGCCUGGUGCUAGCUGAGUGUGACUUA
RNAcentral lists this long non-coding RNA (322 nucleotides) under Bos taurus (domestic cattle). RNAcentral's name for it is "long non-coding RNA NONBTAT005642". Lineage: Eukaryota; Metazoa; Chordata; Mammalia; Artiodactyla; Bovidae. The record is from RNAcentral.